This 3248-nucleotide long non-coding RNA is filed under the name Zea mays. RNAcentral's name for it is "long non-coding RNA (ZMAY_LNC002578)". Lineage: Eukaryota; Viridiplantae; Streptophyta; Magnoliopsida; Poales; Poaceae. The record is from RNAcentral.
ACGGAUCAGACUAACAAAAUCGCUCUACUUCCUUAAAUUGGAUGCACAUCUUACUUCCAUGAUUCUGAAUGAUUAACCAGAACGUCACCAUACUCUCUCACACUUGAGGACCUGGGAUACUUAAACAAGUUUUCUUACAAGCUGGUUAUGUGGUUGCAGUAACAGAAUACUCUAUUUUCUCUUCUAACAAGAAAUGGAUAGGAAGCUAUAGCAUACUCAGACCAAGCAAUUUCUUAAGAGCAUACCUUGCAAUCGCGCAUUCUAACAGAUGCUCUCAAACUGUAGAGAAAUGAACACGCCAAAGUCGAUGACAGCGCUCAAGCUUUUCAAGACAGCAGCUCCAUCAUGCAAGAUGUGGUUUACUUGUAAAGGUCAUUUGAUAUGUACCAGGUAAAGGGCGAGGUCCAGCUGACACCAGAAAUUUUUAGCACUUCCAGACUUCUAUAUAUCUACGAAUAGUACAUUCCAUUUCAGCUGGGAACCCAAUCUACUGUGUCAUUAAACAAGAACUCUCCCCCUGAUUGUCCCAAAAUAUAGUCAGUAUUAUAUUCAGGAUAGAGGGGUUGCAAAUGAUGAAAAAAUAUUAACCAUGCAUAUCAACACUUACAGGGAAGCAAAUGAAAGCCUUCCUGCCAUACUUGCAUCACCUGAAAAAAGCAACGCGCCGCUGUCACCGGCGCACAACGUUUCAAGUCAAAUGGGAUCAAUGGCAACCGAGUUAGAAUACAAAGAAUCAAGCCACAAAGGAUACAUUUCAAGCUCAUCGGCUGCAGCAGAAAUGACGGAAUGGGAUUAUCUUUUUGGAGGUGACUAUCCUAAAUAUACAUACGAGAUGUAAUUCUUGCAAAAAAAAAGUUAUGUAGUUCUUUGCCUCAAAUAAUUUAGUUAAAAUAUUAUGUACUCACAUAUAAAAUUUUCAUAGAAUGCCUAAGAGAUUGAAAUUUAGUUGUGAAGUCAUCUAACAUGAAUUUUAGGCAUCAGUGACUAGUGAUGCUUACAAAUAAAUUCAAGACAUUACAACUUAUGUAUGUUUGUAAUCAAUUGUAUUAUUUACCUAUGCUCAAAGUAAUAUGAUAAAUGAAACCUAGGGUUUGCACCCAAACCAACCAUUUUUAGAUAGAUGCCAAAAAUCAAAGCAACCAUUUUUAGAUCAUGGAAAAGCACCCACUCUCACAUGCGAUACAUGUCUACAAAAAGGAGAGGUUUCCUAUGUGAGCAAAGUGAAGCUGCUUUCAGCCAUGCAACCAUUUUGAAGGUAGUCACACUGAUUUUCCACUGCGAUGAUAACACAGAUUGGAGAAUGAUAGUUUACGGGUCAUCAGGAACUGACGAUGCUGUCAGCUUCUCUGAAACUGCUGCUCUACCUUCAGUUAUUGGCGAUACACAUGAAACAACACAAGUGGUGCAUUUUACAACUCAGGAACCUGAUAGCACCUACUUGUUGCUAGCAUCAACAUAUAAUCAGGUAUGUUGCUAGCAUUUUACAACUAAGAAGAUGGUAAUGCUAUUACUCAAUAUGGAAACACCAAAAUAAUCAGAUGGAUGGUAUCAUACAGGAAGACGAACCCAGUGUACAUGAAGAAAAGUAUGAGAAGCUUCAAGAUUCAUGCAUUGAAGCUAAGUUGUUAAAGGAUGAAGCUGAUGAUGAUGAAUCUAACAAAAUCCGGAAAGCUGAAAUGGACCUGCUUUCAGCACUUCAAAGAGUAAGCUUUGUUUUAUGGGUUCACAUUCACACUGCAGCUUGCAUUAUAUGUAAAGCAAAGUAAUACGUAGACCAUCUAACCAUUGUACUAUUGAACAUCAUAUAAUUAAUUACUGAUUAGGUCCAGUGUGACCAAAAUAGCGAAAUCUCCUUGCAGAUUAAAGAGUUGGAAGAUUCAUAUAUUCACGAGGUGAGCCAGCGAAAAGAAAUUGAGAAGACGCUUGCUAGACAAAGGUUGGAGAUUGAUGAAAUGAGGAGACAACGGUGCACGCUAUCUGAUAAAUUACAUGAUUCGGAUAAGCAUAAGCUUGUACUUGAACAACGUAUAACACAAAUUAAGUCAGCUGCAAAAGAUCACGUGGAAGAGAUUACUGAACAUUUUAUAAGACAAUCAAGUGAGGAAUCUAAAAAACACCAAAAAGUCAAAAUGGGUCUGCUUUCAACACUUCAAAGAGUAAGUGUGUUGUAUCAGGACUUUAGGAGUUUACGGUUCAACUAGGGAAGCAUGUGAUACACAAGAUGUAAAGUAUUCUUAUACAGGUUAAGGAGGUUGAGAGUUUGCUACAGAAUGAGAAGGCACAGCGGGAAUAUAUGGAGGAGAAGGUAUCAAGACAGAGAACAGAGAUCGAAGAAACAAGGAGGCAACGAGAUAAACUGUACCAUGACUUGCAAGAUUUAAAAGAGCAGAAGCUCAAACUGGAACAAGUUGUAAGUUUGGCAGUCUAUUAUUAAGUUUUAAUGUAUUGUUGAACAUUGUUCAGAAUAUAUGACUGAUCUUUUGAAAAGGGUAUGUCUGAAGAAACUAACAGAAGAAGAAAAGCUGAGAGAGAUCGGCUCUCAUACCUUCAAAGGGUAUGUUUUCUUCUUCCUUUUCUGCACCAUUGGUCCUUAAUACAAAUCACAGGUGGUCAUGGAAGUGGUGAUUGCUCGUGCAGAUUAAAGACCUGGAGCACCAGCACAUACAUCAGGUGAAAAAGCAGGAAACAAUGGAGGAGACAAUGACAAGACAGAAGGAAGAAAUCCAAGCAUCGAAAAGAAAGCUACAUGAGACACAUGGCAAACAUAUGUCUGAGAUAAAGUCCGCCGUGAAGGUUCAUGAAGAAAAGCUCGCCGACAGCAAGCAGCUUCUCCAAGAGCUCCAAGCGAAGCAUGACAAGCUACUGCGUGAGAGAGACACCGCAGCUAUGGAAGCCAAAGAGUCACGCCAAAAGAACAAGCAAAGAGCCUUAGGGACGACUGAAACUGCGAACACCGAGUUCUCGAUUGUCGAGCUGCAGAAAGCAACCAGAGGAUUCGAUGCGGAACUCAAGAUCAGCGAAGAUGGAUUUGCAAGCGUCUACAGAGGUUUCGUCCGCAACACAGACGUAGCAAUAAAGUUGUUCCAUUCGCGAAGCUUAAAAGGGCAGGCAAGAUUUUACCAAGAGGUAGGUAGUUGACAUUGCUUACCUUCAAGUUCUUACCGCCCCCUUUUUCGAACGAGCAGUGACAUCACUACUCACUCGCUCCUGCAGGUUGCUGUCCUCAGUAGGGUGAGGCAUCCUAACAU